Molecule: unclassified non-coding RNA, 339 nt
Filed under: soil metagenome
Description: partial contains 5.8S ribosomal RNA, internal transcribed spacer 2, and large subunit ribosomal RNA
Rfam family: 5.8S ribosomal RNA (bases 1-120)
Source: RNAcentral
GAUGAAGAACGCAGCGAAAUGCGAUACGUAGUGUGAAUUGCAGAAUUCAGUGAAUCAUCGAAUCUUUGAACGCACAUUGCACCUCUCGGUAUUCCGGGAGGUAUGCCUGUUCGAGCGUCAUUUGUACCCUCAAGCUCUGCUUGGUGUUGGGUGUUUGUUCCGCCUCUGUGUGUGAACUCGCCUCAAAACAAUUGGCAGCCGGCGGACUUGUUUCGGAGCGCAGCACAUUUUGCGAUCCAGAUCAACGUACAGCGGCAUCCAAGAAGCCUUAUUUAACGCUCUUGACCUCGGAUCAGGUAGGGAUACCCGCUGAACUUAAGCAUAUCAAUAAGCGGAGGA